RNAcentral lists this ribosomal RNA (228 nucleotides) under uncultured bacterium. Its description in RNAcentral is "partial 16S ribosomal RNA". It matches the Rfam family "Bacterial small subunit ribosomal RNA", at positions 111 to 334 of the family's 1533-position model. The record is from RNAcentral.
UAACGCGUAGGUAACCUGCCUUGUAGCGGGGGAUAACUAUUGGAAACGAUAGCUAAUACCGCAUAACAAUGGGUGACUCAUGUCAUUUAUUUGAAAGGGGCAAAUGCUCCACUACAAGAUGGACCUGCGUUGUAUUAGCUAGUAGGUGAGGUAACGGCUCACCUAGGCGACGACACAUAGCCGACCUGAGAGGGUGAUCGGCCACACUGGGACUGAGACACGGCCCAG